AGCAGCCGCCGCGGUAAUACGUAGGGUGCGAGCGUUAAUCGGAAUUACUGGGCGUAAAGCGUGCGCAGGCGGUUUUGUAAGACAGGCGUGAAAUCCCCGGGCUCAACCUGGGAAUGGCGCUUGUGACUGCAAAGCUAGAGUGCGGCAGAGGGGGAUGGAAUUCCGCGUGUAGCAGAGAAAUGCGUAGAUAUGCGGAGGAACACCGAUGGCGAAGGCAAUCCCCUGGGCCUGCACUGACGCUCAUGCACGAAAGCGUGGGGAGCAAACAGGAUUAGAGACCCCAGUAGUCCCUGUCUCUUAUAC
RNAcentral lists this ribosomal RNA (303 nucleotides) under uncultured bacterium. RNAcentral's name for it is "partial 16S ribosomal RNA". It matches the Rfam family "Bacterial small subunit ribosomal RNA", at positions 507 to 807 of the family's 1533-position model. The record is from RNAcentral.